CCAUAUGAUUCAUCGAUAUUAAUAAAGCUCGCGAUACAUCAAGAUCCUGCCAUCUCAAGAAACACGAGAGAGAGAGAGAUUGAACACAUAUCUACUAGUACAUACCCUGAGCCCCAAGGAGGAUUAGUGACACAUUAUCACGGUGAGAAAGAGAGAUUUAUUAAUGGAGGGGUGCAACCCUGAAGAGAUGGAGGCGAUAGCGGCCACGGCACCAGCGAUGGGCGACAGUGGUGGCAACGGGCGGCGGCCCCUCGCGCCCUCCUUCU
RNAcentral lists this long non-coding RNA (266 nucleotides) under Hordeum vulgare. Its description in RNAcentral is "long non-coding RNA (HVUL_LNC001274)". The record is from RNAcentral. Lineage: Eukaryota; Viridiplantae; Streptophyta; Magnoliopsida; Poales; Poaceae.